GAGGAACGCUGGCGGCGUGCCUAAUACAUGCAAGUCGAACGAACUCUGGUAUUGAUUGGUGCUUGCAUCAUGAUUUACAUUUGAGUGAGUGGCGAACUGGUGAGUAACACGUGGGAAACCUGCCCAGAAGCGGGGGAUAACACCUGGAAACAGAUGCUAAUACCGCAUAACAACUUGGACCGCAUGGUCCGAGUUUGAAAGAUGGCUUCGGCUAUCACUUUUGGAUGGUCCCGCGGCGUAUUAGCUAGAUGGUGGGGUAACGGCUCACCAUGGCAAUGAUACGUAGCCGACCUGAGAGGGUAAUCGGCCACAUUGGGACUGAGACACGGCCCAAACUCCUACGGGAGGCAGCAGUAGGGAAUCUUCCACAAUGGACGAAAGUCUGAUGGAGCAACGCCGCGUGAGUGAAGAAGGGUUUCGGCUCGUAAAACUCUGUUGUUAAAGAAGAACAUAUCUGAGAGUAACUGUUCAGGUAUUGACGGUAUUUAACCAGAAAGCCACGGCUAACUACGUGCCAGCAGCCGCGGUAAUACGUAGGUGGCAAGCGUUGUCCGGGAUUUAUUGGGCGUAAAGCGAGCGCAGGCGGUUUUUUAAGUCUGAUGUGAAAGCCUUCGGCUCAACCGAAGAAGUGCAUCGGAAACUGGGAAACUUGAGUGCAGAAGAGGACAGUGGAACUCCAUGUGUAGCGGUGAAAUGCGUAGAUAUAUGGAAGAACACCAGUGGCGAAGGCGGCUGUCUGGUCUGUAACUGACGCUGAGGCUCGAAAGUAUGGGUAGCAAACAGGAUUAGAUACCCUGGUAGUCCAUACCGUAAACGAUGAAUGCUAAGUGUUGGAGGGUUUCCGCCCUUCAGUGCUGCAGCUAACGCAUUAAGCAUUCCGCCUGGGGAGUACGGCCGCAAGGCUGAAACUCAAAGGAAUUGACGGGGGCCCGCACAAGCGGUGGAGCAUGUGGUUUAAUUCGAAGCUACGCGAAGAACCUUACCAGGUCUUGACAUACUAUGCAAAUCUAAGAGAUUAGACGUUCCCUUCGGGGACAUGGAUACAGGUGGUGCAUGGUUGUCGUCAGCUCGUGUCGUGAGAUGUUGGGUUAAGUCCCGCAACGAGCGCAACCCUUAUUAUCAGUUGCCAGCAUUAAGUUGGGCACUCUGGUGAGACUGCCGGUGACAAACCGGAGGAAGGUGGGGAUGACGUCAAAUCAUCAUGCCCCUUAUGACCUGGGCUACACACGUGCUACAAUGGAUGGUACAACGAGUUGCGAACUCGCGAGAGUAAGCUAAUCUCUUAAAGCCAUUCUCAGUUCGGAUUGUAGGCUGCAACUCGCCUACAUGAAGUCGGAAUCGCUAGUAAUCGCGGAUCAGCAUGCCGCGGUGAAUACGUUCCCGGGCCUUGUACACACCGCCCGUCACACCAUGAGAGUUUGUAACACCCAAAGUCGGUGGGGUAACCUUUUAGGAACCAGCCGCCUAAGGUGGGACAGAUGAUUAGGGAAGUCGUA
RNAcentral lists this ribosomal RNA (1496 nucleotides) under Lactiplantibacillus pentosus. RNAcentral's name for it is "bacterial SSU rRNA". It matches the Rfam family "Bacterial small subunit ribosomal RNA". The record is from RNAcentral. Lineage: Bacteria; Bacillati; Bacillota; Bacilli; Lactobacillales; Lactobacillaceae.